RNAcentral lists this ribosomal RNA (483 nucleotides) under uncultured bacterium. RNAcentral's name for it is "partial 16S ribosomal RNA". It matches the Rfam family "Bacterial small subunit ribosomal RNA", at positions 28 to 523 of the family's 1533-position model. The record is from RNAcentral.
GACGAACGCUGGCGGCGUGCUUUACACAUGCAAGUCGAACGGUGAAGGUGGAGCUUGCUCCGCCGGAUCAGUGGCGAACGGGUGAGUAACACGUGGGCAACCUGCCCCUAACUUUGGGAUAACUACUCGAAAGAGUAGCUAAUACCGGAUAUGAAGUCUGUAGGCAUCUAUGGAUUUGGAAAGUUUUUCAGUUAGGGAUGGGCCCGCGGCCUAUCAGCUUGUUGGUGAGGUAGUGGCUCACCAAGGCGACGACGGGUAGCCGGCCUGAGAGGGCGACCGGCCACACUGGGACUGAGACACGGCCCAGACUCCUACGGGAGGCAGCAGUAGGGAAUAUUGCGCAAUGGGCGAAAGCCUGACGCAGCAACGCCGCGUGCGGGAUGAAGGCCUUCGGGUUGUAAACCGCUUUCAGCAGGGAAGAAGCGAAAGUGACGGUACCUGCAGAAGAAGCACCGGCUAACUACGUGCCAGCCGCCGCAGUAA